CCCCGCCGCCCGCCACCUUGCCCGCCCGCCGCCGAGCUGCCCCCGCCCCGCGCCGCCUCUCCGGCAGCGGCCGUGAGCAGGUAAUGGCAGGGCGGAGGAGGCGCGGGAGGGAAGCGGCAGAAAGUCCGGUUAACUCCUUUGAGCUCGGGGCCGGCUGCGGCUGGAGGCUGCCCGGGGUCGGACGGAGGGCUGCAAGAGAUCCGACAGUUGGCUGCUGCAAAAAAGAUGAUCCUGCCUGCAACCUGUAAGCGUGUGCUCUGCUGGACCUGGUGCCCAUCUGACUGCAACUAGCUGGUCAAUCUGCUGGAAAAAUUACACUUCAGAAAAUAAUGAGUUUUCCAUUGAAUUGAUCCAACUUGUGACAACACAGCUGCAGGAUCGAGGCAAGCAGCAACCUGCAAGUGAUGGAAAGCAGAAGUGCUCCUUUCAGUAGCCAUCUGUCAUUAAAGAGCUCUGUUGCAUCCUG
Coturnix japonica (Japanese quail) is the source of this 466-nucleotide non-coding RNA. Lineage: Eukaryota; Metazoa; Chordata; Aves; Galliformes; Phasianidae. The record is from RefSeq and is a predicted model, not a curated record.